CACAAAAUGCCGUCUUUGGCCAAGCCUUCCCAGAAGGGUAGGGGGAAGAAGAAGGGUGGUAAGAAGCCGGCAAAGAUUGUCCCCGACCCGGACAGUGCGUAUCGCCAGCAGCUGGAUGAAACACUAUACAUCCCCAAGGUGGUGCGCAGGAAAGUCCUUGAUACCUAUGGGAAGGCAGCUGAUAGCGCGAUCAUGGCCAAUACCGUUGACGCCUUGCCGUCGCAGCUGGAUGCUCAUCGCGAAAGGCCGAUUUCGUUUAUCAAAGUACCAAGUAUCUUUCGGUCUCUGGGUCUUUGCUUGACUGAUGACCAGAUUGAUCAAAUAAAGGCGAUGAUUGCGCAGAAUUCUCAACACGUAUCACAGGAAAACAGCGCGGCCAACCAGAUGCAGCAGGUGCAGCGGCCUGGCACAUUUGCCGACCGUGAAAAGCUGCGCACUCUCUUGGUGGAGCUGCUCCACACCCACGUAUUGGCAUACGACCCUCAAGUGCUCACCUGCCCCCAUCCCAGAUUCCCGGAUCGUGUCUCUUCGGUGGUAUACAGCUCUACAGAAGCUGACAUUCGAUCCUGUUUUGAUAAAAUCUGGGAAGUGACUGGGAAGCAGAUGGCUAUGACUGCGGACGGGACAAAUAUCCGGUGCGUUGCCGUGGAGCAGCUGGAGGAGCUUUUGGUAAGAGCGCAAACCGAGGAGGUCGCCACGAAAGCUCUGACGGAAAAAGAGUUGCAGGACUUCUACUUUCUUGUCAAGGAUGUAAACGAUGAUGUGGUACGGGAAGACGCUUUUUUGAACUGCUUCAUUCAUGCACAAUAGUUAUCUCGACUCUCGAUUAUCAAGGGUGUUACUGCCUUUUCUUUUCAUUCACCAUACUCCUG
This 872-nucleotide unclassified non-coding RNA is filed under the name Leishmania donovani. RNAcentral's name for it is "gene:LdHU3.10.0960(CDS-product:hypothetical_prote in_conserved)". The record is from RNAcentral. Lineage: Eukaryota; Euglenozoa; Kinetoplastea; Trypanosomatida; Trypanosomatidae.